Molecule: ribosomal RNA, 468 nt
Filed under: uncultured bacterium
Lineage: Bacteria
Description: partial 16S ribosomal RNA
Rfam family: Bacterial small subunit ribosomal RNA
Source: RNAcentral
GACGAACGCUGGCGGCGUGCUUAACACAUGCAAGUCGAACGGAAAGGCCCUGCUUUUGUGGGGUGCUCGAGUGGCGAACGGGUGAGUAACGCGUGAGUAACCUGCCCUUGACUUUGGGAUAACUUCAGGAAACUGGGGCUAAUACCGGAUAGGAGCUCCUGCUGCAUGGUGGGGGUUGGAAAGUUUCGGCGGUUGGGGAUGGACUCGCGGCUUAUCAGCUUGUUGGUGGGGUAGUGGCUUACCAAGGCUUUGACGGGUAGCCGGCCUGAGAGGGUGACCGGCCACAUUGGGACUGAGAUACGGCGCAGACUCCUACGGGAGGCAGCAGUGGGGAAUAUUGCACAAUGGGCGGAAGCCUGAUGCAGCAACGCCGCGUGCGGGAUGACGGCCUUCGGGUUGUAAACCGCUUUCGCCUGUGACGAAGCGUGAGUGACGGUAAUGGGUAAAGAAGCACCGGCUAACUACGUG